ACCCUUGUUCGACUGUGAUGUG
This 22-nucleotide microRNA is filed under the name Schistosoma japonicum. RNAcentral describes it as "sja-miR-2c-5p". Its record names the gene sja-miR-2c-5p. The record is from miRBase by way of RNAcentral. Lineage: Eukaryota; Metazoa; Platyhelminthes; Trematoda; Strigeidida; Schistosomatidae.